GAUGAACGCUGGCGGCGUGCCUAAUACAUGCAAGUCGAGCGAACAGAUAAUGAGCUUGCUCCUUUGACGUUAGCGGCGGACGGGUGAGUAACACGUGGGUAACCUACCUAUAAGACUGGAAUAACUCCGGGAAACCGGGGCUAAUGCCGGAUAACAUUUAGAACCGCAUGGUUCUAAAGUGAAAGAUGGUUUUACUAUCACUUAUAGAUGGACCCGCGCCGUAUUAGCUUGUUGGUAAGGUAACGGCUUACCAAGGCAACGAUACGUAGCCGACCUGAGAGGGUGAUCGGCCACACUGGAACUGAGACACGGUCCAGACUCCUACGGGAGGCAGCAGUAGGGAAUCUUCCGCAAUGGGCGAAAGCCUGACGGAGCAACGCCGCGUGAGUGAUGAAGGUCUUCGGAUCGUAAAACUCUGUUAUUAGGGAAGAACAAAUGUGUAAGUAACUGUGCACGUCUUGACGGUACCUAAUCAGAAAGCCACGGCUAACUACGUG
This 497-nucleotide ribosomal RNA is filed under the name uncultured bacterium. RNAcentral's name for it is "partial 16S ribosomal RNA". It matches the Rfam family "Bacterial small subunit ribosomal RNA", at positions 28 to 507 of the family's 1533-position model. The record is from RNAcentral.